RNAcentral lists this long non-coding RNA (2522 nucleotides) under Homo sapiens (human). RNAcentral describes it as "HSALNT0210138". Lineage: Eukaryota; Metazoa; Chordata; Mammalia; Primates; Hominidae. The record is from RNAcentral.
UGGAAGAAGUCUCCGUUUUUUGUUUUUUUUUGAGACAGAGUCUCCCUCUGUCGCCCAGGCUGCAGUGCAAUGGCGCCAUCUCGGCUCGCUGCAAGCUCCGCCUCCUGGGUUCACGCCAUUCUUCCUCCUCAGCCUCUAGAGUAGCUGGGAUUACAGGCGCCCGCCACCACCCCCGGCUACUUUUUUUGUAUUUUUAGUAGAGACGGGGUUUCACCGUGUUAGCCAGGAUGGUCUCGAUCUCCUGACCUAGUGAUCCGCCCGCCUCGACCUCCCACAGUGCUGGGAUGCCCGCCUCGACCUCCCAAAGUGCUGGGAUUACAGGCGUGAGCCACUGCGCCUGGCCGAAGUCUCCAUUUUAUGGACGUUUCUUUCACUUUUCAUCUGGGAGGAGGAAGGGCUAAAUCAGGAGAGGCUUUUACCAUAGAGAAGGUAACAUUGUCAUGGCUCCUGGCACCUCUGGGAUCUAGCUGAAGAAGUAAUGUAAAGACAGCAUGUCAAAUGGAAGAAAAUAUUUGCAAACUAUUCAUCUAACAAGGGACUAAUAUCCAGAAUACACAAGGAAUUCAAACAACUCAAAAGUAAGGAAGAUAAUAAUAAUCCCAUUAGAAAGUGGGCAAAGAACGUGAAUAGACAUUUCUCAAAAGAAGACAUACAAGUGGCCAACAGGUAUAUGAAAAAUGCUCAACAUACCUAAUCUUCAAGGAAAUGAAAAUCAAAACAGAAAGAGAUAUCAUCUUACCCCAGUAAGAAUGGCUAUUACUAAAAAGACAAAAACAGUGCUGAAAAUUUUCAUGGAGAUGGAGCAAGAUAGCCAAAUAGAAGACUCCAGCAAUCAUCCUCCCAAAAGGCACAUCAAAUUGAACAGCUAUCCACACAUAAAAGUGCCUUCAUAUGAACCAAAAAUCAGGAAAGAGAACAAGCACUGAAAAAAAAACCAACAGAAUAUCUGAAGACUGUGGGACAACUGCAAAAUCUCUAACAUCUCUCUAAUGAAAAUUCCAUAAGGAGAAAAGAAACGAUAGGAACAGAAGAAAUAUUUGAAACAAUAAUGACUGAGAUUUUCCCCAAAUGAAUGUAAGACAGCAAACCAGAGAUCCAAGAAGCUCAGAAAACACAAAGCAAAAUAAAUAUAAAACAAAACAAAAACUCCAAAUGAUGCCUAGGCAUAUCAUUUUUAAACUAUAAAAAAACAAACAAGAAGAAAAAAUCCUGAGAGCAGUCAGAGGAUAGAGACACUUUACCUCUAAAACAAUAAUUACAUCUGACUUCCCUUGCACUUUUCAGUGCAAGCAAGAAAAGAAUGGAUUGAAAUAGUUAAACUGUUGAUAGAAAAGAAACACCAACCUAGAAUUCUGUACCAUAAAAAUUAUCUUUCCAAAGUGAAAGAAAAAUAAAGACUUCCUCAGACAAAUAAUAAUUGAUGAAAUUUGUUGCCAGUAGCUGCCUUGUAAUAAAUAGUAAAGAAAUUUCUUUAGAAAGAAGGAAAAUUUUAUAGGUUAGAAACCUGAAUGAAGAAAGAACAUCAAAGAAGGAAUAAAUGAAGUAAAAUUAAAACUUAUUUUUCUUACUCUUAAUCUAACAAAUAAAAUUUUGUUCAAAAUAAUAAUGGCAAUAAAUUCAAUUAUAUAUUCUAUUAUGUAUGUUGAUAUAUACAUAAUUGAUAUGGUUUGACCCUGUGCCCCUACCCAAAUUUGACCUUGAAUUGAAGUAAUCCCCUUAUGUCAAGGGCAGGACCAGGUGGAGAUAAUUGAAUCACAGUGGCGUUUUCCCCCAUACUGUCCUCAUGAUAGUGAGUUCUCAUGACGUCUGUUGGUUUUAUAAGGGGCUUUCUCCCCAUUCACUCUGCACUUCUCCUUGCUGCUGCCAUGUGAAGAAGGAUGUGUUUGCUUCCACUUUUGCCAUGAUUGUAAGUUUCCUGAGGCUUCCCCAGAUAUGCUGAACAUGAAUCAAUUAAACCUUUUCUCUUUAUAAACUAACACAGUCUCAGAUAUGUCUUUAUUAGCAGUGAGAAUGUACUAAUACAAUAAUCAAGUAUAUUGUACUUAUAUAUGUUUAUGUGUAUGUGUAUAUAUACACAAAUGAAAUAAAUGACCACAAUGAUACAAGGGAUGGGGAGGAAUCAGGAUUAUUUUGUUAUUAGAAGGUGCUCACAUUACACAUAAAGUGUUUUAAUGUUAUUUAAAAGUGGAUUUGGGUUCCUUACAAAUGCCUAUGACAAACUCCACAGCAACCACCAUAAAAGCUAAAGAACAGGAUGCAUAACUGAUAUGCUAAGAGACAGAGAAAAUCGAAUUAUAUCAAGUGUUCAACUGAAUACCACAAAGCACAGAAAAAGAGUGGAAAACAAAAACAGACAAAAAGAACAAGGGAAACAAAUAGAAAAAGUAACAAAUAUGGAAGUUGUUAACCUAAACAUAUCAAUAAUCACUUUGAACACGUUAAACAACAGAGGUUGUCAGAGAGGGUCAAAAAAUGAGACCCAGUUAUAUAUAUUCUACAAGAAACCCACUGUAAAUAUAAAG